GCGGGUGCCCAGCAAGCCCCUGACCAGCGGAGACACUGUUGUAGCGAUCUAGCCUUCCAAGCUGGCCAUGCCGGUUCGAUCCCGGUCACCCGCUCCA
RNAcentral lists this transfer RNA (97 nucleotides) under Blastococcus sp. Its description in RNAcentral is "tRNA-Gly". The record is from RNAcentral. Lineage: Bacteria; Bacillati; Actinomycetota; Actinomycetes; Geodermatophilales; Geodermatophilaceae.